UACGAAGGGGGCUAGCGUUGUUCGGAAUUACUGGGCGUAAAGCGCACGUAGGCGGAUCGAUCAGUCAGGGGUGAAAUCCCAGAGCUCAACUCUGGAACUGCCUUUUGAUACUGUCGAUCUAGAGUAUGGAAGAGGUGAGUGGAAUUCCGAGUGUAGAGGUGAAAUUCGUAGAUAUUCGGAGGAACACCAGUGGCGAAGGCGGCUCACUGGUCCAUUACUGAACGCUGAGGUGCGAAAAGCGUGGGGGAGCAAACAGG
This 257-nucleotide ribosomal RNA is filed under the name uncultured bacterium. RNAcentral describes it as "partial 16S ribosomal RNA". It matches the Rfam family "Bacterial small subunit ribosomal RNA", at positions 524 to 776 of the family's 1533-position model. The record is from RNAcentral.